GGUUUUGGCUUCAUUCGGUCAGAUUUUCAGUCUGUGCAGAAUUGUCCAGUUGGUUACUUCCACUUCACCAUUUGAUUGCGGAUGGCUGACCGAAGUGAGUUUGUACGUAAUAUAAAAUUUCGUGCAAAAUUUUCUAAAAUUUUGUUAUCAAAUUAUCGAUCAUUGUCGGUGAUGAUGAUGUGUGGCAAAUCGAAUCUAUAAAUGA
This 205-nucleotide long non-coding RNA is filed under the name Elaeis guineensis (African oil palm). RNAcentral describes it as "long non-coding RNA (EGUI_LNC010873)". Lineage: Eukaryota; Viridiplantae; Streptophyta; Magnoliopsida; Arecales; Arecaceae. The record is from RNAcentral.